This 2917-nucleotide ribosomal RNA is filed under the name Enterococcus faecium. Its description in RNAcentral is "23S ribosomal RNA". It matches the Rfam family "Bacterial large subunit ribosomal RNA". The record is from RNAcentral. Lineage: Bacteria; Bacillati; Bacillota; Bacilli; Lactobacillales; Enterococcaceae.
GGUUAAGUGAAUAAGGGCGCACGGUGGAUGCCUUGGCACUAGGAGCCGAUGAAGGACGGGACUAACACCGAUAUGCUUUGGGGAGCUGUACGUAAGCUAUGAUCCAGAGAUUUCCGAAUGGGGGAACCCAACAUCUUUAAUAGGAUGUUACGAUUGUGUGAAUACAUAGCACAUUCGAGGUAGACGCAGAGAACUGAAACAUCUAAGUACCUGCAGGAAGAGAAAGAAAAUUCGAUUCCCUGAGUAGCGGCGAGCGAAACGGGAAAAGCCCAAACCAGCAAGCUUGCUUGCUUGUUGGGGUUGUAGGACUCCAAUAUGGUAGUUCUUUCAGAUAGUCGAAUGACUUGGAAAAGUCAGUCAAAGAGGGUAAAAACCCCGUAGACGAAAUGUGGAAGACACCUAGGAGGAUCCUGAGUACGGCGGAACACGAGAAAUUCCGUCGGAAUCCGGGAGGACCAUCUCCCAAGGCUAAAUACUCCCUAGUGACCGAUAGUGAACCAGUACCGUGAGGGAAAGGUGAAAAGCACCCCGGAAGGGGAGUGAAAUAGAACCUGAAACCGUGUGCCUACAACAAGUCAAAGCCCGUUAAUGGGUGAUGGCGUGCCUUUUGUAGAAUGAACCGGCGAGUUACGAUUGCAUGCGAGGUUAAGUUGAAGAGACGGAGCCGCAGCGAAAGCGAGUCUGAAUAGGGCGUUUGAGUAUGUAGUCGUAGACCCGAAACCAUGUGAUCUACCCAUGUCCAGGUUGAAGGUGCGGUAAAACGCACUGGAGGACCGAACCCACGUACGUUGAAAAGUGCGGGGAUGAGGUGUGGGUAGCGGAGAAAUUCCAAACGAACUUGGAGAUAGCUGGUUCUCUCCGAAAUAGCUUUAGGGCUAGCCUCGGAAUUGAGAAUGAUGGAGGUAGAGCACUGUUUGGACUAGGGGCCCAUCUCGGGUUACCGAAUUCAGAUAAACUCCGAAUGCCAUUCAUUCAUAUCCGGGAGUCAGACUGUGAGUGAUAAGAUCCAUAGUCGAAAGGGAAACAGCCCAGACCACCAGCUAAGGUCCCAAAAUAUAUGUUAAGUGGAAAAGGAUGUGGGGUUGCACAGACAACUAGGAUGUUGGCUUAGAAGCAGCCACCAUUUAAAGAGUGCGUAAUAGCUCACUAGUCGAGUGACCCUGCGCCGAAAAUGUACCGGGGCUAAACAUAUUACCGAAGCUGUGGAGUACACCUUUAGGUGUAUUGGUAGGAGAGCGUUCUAAGGGCGUUGAAGGCAGAUCGUGAGGACUGCUGGAGCGCUUAGAAGUGAGAAUGCCGGUAUGAGUAGCGAAAGACAGGUGAGAAUCCUGUCCACCGAAUGACUAAGGUUUCCUGGGGAAGGCUCGUCCGCCCAGGGUUAGUCGGGACCUAAGCCGAGGCCGACAGGCGUAGGCGAUGGAUAACAGGUUGAUAUUCCUGUACCCGUUGUUUUUGUUUGAGCAAUGGAGGGACGCAGGAGGCUAAGGAAUGCAGACGAUCGGAAAUGUCUGUCCAAGCAGUAAGUCUGAAGAGGAGUCAAAUGCUUCUUUUCUUAAGGACAAGCUGUGAUGGGGAGGGAAAUAAUAGUACCGAAGUUCCUGAUGUCACACUGCCGAGAAAAGCUUCUAGUGAGAAAACAGCGGCCCGUACCGCAAACCGACACAGGUAGUCGAGGAGAGAAUCCUAAGGUGAGCGAGAGAACUCUCGUUAAGGAACUCGGCAAAAUGACCCCGUAACUUCGGGAGAAGGGGUGCUGAUCAUACGAUCAGCCGCAGUGAAUAGGCCCAAGCGACUGUUUAUCAAAAACACAGGUCUCUGCAAAAUCGUAAGAUGAAGUAUAGGGGCUGACGCCUGCCCGGUGCUGGAAGGUUAAGAGGAGUGCUUAGCGCAAGCGAAGGUACGAAUUGAAGCCCCAGUAAACGGCGGCCGUAACUAUAACGGUCCUAAGGUAGCGAAAUUCCUUGUCGGGUAAGUUCCGACCCGCACGAAAGGCGUAACGAUUUGGGCACUGUCUCAACGAGAGACUCGGUGAAAUUUUAGUACCUGUGAAGAUGCAGGUUACCCGCGACAGGACGGAAAGACCCCAUGGAGCUUUACUGUAGUUUGAUAUUGAGUGUCUGUACCGCAUGUACAGGAUAGGUAGGAGCCGUAGAAAUCGGAACGCUAGUUUCGAUGGAGGCGCUGGUGGGAUACUACCCCUGCGUUAUGGCCACUCUAACCCGCACCACUAAUCGUGGUGGGAGACAGUGUCAGAUGGGCAGUUUGACUGGGGCGGUCGCCUCCUAAAGUAACGGAGGCGCCCAAAGGUUCCCUCAGAAUGGUUGGAAAUCAUUCGAAGAGUGUAAAGGCAGAAGGGAGCUUGACUGCGAGACCAACAAGUCGAGCAGGGACGAAAGUCGGGCUUAGUGAUCCGGUGGUUCCGCAUGGAAGGGCCAUCGCUCAACGGAUAAAAGCUACCCUGGGGAUAACAGGCUUAUCUCCCCCAAGAGUCCACAUCGACGGGGAGGUUUGGCACCUCGAUGUCGGCUCGUCGCAUCCUGGGGCUGUAGUCGGUCCCAAGGGUUGGGCUGUUCGCCCAUUAAAGCGGCACGCGAGCUGGGUUCAGAACGUCGUGAGACAGUUCGGUCCCUAUCCGUCGCGGGCGUUGGAAAUUUGAGAGGAGCUGUCCUUAGUACGAGAGGACCGGGAUGGACUUACCGCUGGUGUACCAGUUGUUCUGCCAAGGGCAUUGCUGGGUAGCUAUGUAGGGAAGGGAUAAACGCUGAAAGCAUCUAAGUGUGAAGCCCACCUCAAGAUGAGAUUUCCCAUUUCUUUAAGAAAGUAAGAUCCCUGAGAGAUGAUCAGGUAGAUAGGUCAGGAGUGGAAGUACAGUGAUGUAUGGAGCGGACUGAUACUAAUCGAUCGAGGACUUAACCAA